Molecule: transfer RNA, 71 nt
Filed under: Domibacillus mangrovi
Lineage: Bacteria; Bacillati; Bacillota; Bacilli; Caryophanales; Bacillaceae
Rfam family: tRNA
About the family: Transfer RNA (tRNA) molecules are approximately 80 nucleotides in length. Their secondary structure includes four short double-helical elements and three loops (D, anti-codon, and T loops).
Source: Rfam by way of RNAcentral
GGCGGCAUAGCCAAGCGGUAAGGCCAAGGUCUGCAAAACCUUUAUCACCGGUUCGAUUCCGGUUGCCGCCU